UACGAAGGGGGCUAGCGUUGCUCGGAAUUACUGGGCGUAAAGCGCACGUAGGCGGUCUUUUAAGUCGGGGGUGAAAUCCUGGAGCUCAACUCCAGAACUGCCUUCGAUACUGGAAGACUUGAGUCCGGGAGAGGUGAGUGGAACUGCGAGUGUAGAGGUGAAAUUCGUAGAUAUUCGCAAGAACACCAGUGGCGAAGGCGGACUCACUGGCC
RNAcentral lists this ribosomal RNA (212 nucleotides) under uncultured bacterium. RNAcentral's name for it is "partial 16S ribosomal RNA". It matches the Rfam family "Bacterial small subunit ribosomal RNA", at positions 524 to 734 of the family's 1533-position model. The record is from RNAcentral.